This 406-nucleotide ribosomal RNA is filed under the name uncultured bacterium. Its description in RNAcentral is "partial 16S ribosomal RNA". It matches the Rfam family "Bacterial small subunit ribosomal RNA", at positions 30 to 526 of the family's 1533-position model. The record is from RNAcentral.
AUUGAACGCUGGCGGCAGGCCUAACACAUGCACGUCGAACGAGUGGCGGACGGGUGAGUAAUGUCUGGGAAACUGCCUGAUGGAGGGGGAUAACUACUGGAAACGGUAUCUAAUACCGCAUACACUCUGAUUUGCCCCGAUGGGAUUAGCUAGUAGGUGGGGUAAAGUGUCACCUGGGCGACGAUCCCUAGCUGGUGUGAGCGGAUGACCAGCCACACUUGAACGUAGACACGGUCCCGACUCCUAAGGGAGGCAGCAGUGGGGAAUAGUGCACAAUGGGCGCAAGCCUGAUGCAGCCAUGCCGCGUGUAUGAAGAAGGCCUUCGGGUUGUAAAGUACGUUCAGCGGGGAGGCGUUACCCGCAGAAGAAGCACCGGCUAACUCCGUGCCAGCAGCCGCGGUAAUUC